UACGGGGGGGGCAAGCGUUGUUCGGAAUUACUGGGCGUAAAGGGCUCGUAGGCGGCCAACUAAGUCGGAUGUGAAAUCCCCAGGCUCAACUUGGGAACUGCAUCCGAUACUGGAUGGCUUGAAUUCGGGAGAGGGAUGCAGAAUUCCAGGUGUAGCGGUGAAAUGCGUAGAUAUCUGGAGGAAUACCGGUGGCGAAGGCGGCAUCCUGGACCAACACUGACGCUGAUGAGCGAAAGCCAGGGGAGCAAACGGG
This 253-nucleotide ribosomal RNA is filed under the name uncultured bacterium. RNAcentral describes it as "partial 16S ribosomal RNA". It matches the Rfam family "Bacterial small subunit ribosomal RNA", at positions 524 to 776 of the family's 1533-position model. The record is from RNAcentral.